CCUACGGGAGGCAGCAGUGGGGAAUAGUGCACAAUGGGGGAAACCCUGAUGCAGCGACGCCGCGUGAGUGAAGAAGUAUUUCGGUAUGUAAAGCUCUAUCAGCAGGGAAGAAAAUGACGGUACCUGAGUAAGAAGCCCCGGCUAACUACGUGCCAGCAGCCGCGGUAAUACGUAGGGGGCAAGCGUUAUCCGGAUUUACUGGGUGUAAAGGGAGCGUAGACGGCAGCGCAAGUCUGAAGUGAAAUGCCGGGGCUUAACCCCGGAACUGCUUUGGAAACUGUGCAGCUAGAGUGCAGGAGAGGUAAGUGGCUUUCCUAGUGUAGCGGUGACAUGCGUAGAUCUUAGGCGGAACACCAGUGGCGAAGGCGGCUUACUGGACUGUACCUGACGUUGAGGCUCGCCAGCGUGGGGAGCAACCAGGAUUCGAUCCCCCGGUAGUC
This 440-nucleotide ribosomal RNA is filed under the name uncultured bacterium. Its description in RNAcentral is "partial 16S ribosomal RNA". It matches the Rfam family "Bacterial small subunit ribosomal RNA", at positions 338 to 795 of the family's 1533-position model. The record is from RNAcentral.